CGGACGGGUGAGUAAUGUCUGGGAAACGUGCCUGAUGGAGGGGGGUAACUACUGGAAACGGUAGCUAAUACCGCAUAACGUCGCAAGACCAAGAGGGGACCUUCGGGCCUCUUGCCAUCGGAUGUGCCCAGAUGGGAUUAGCUAGUAGGUGGGGUAACGGCUCACCUAGGCGACGAUCCCUAGCUGGUCUGAGAGGAUGACCAGCCACACUGGAACUGAGACACGGUCCAG
This 231-nucleotide ribosomal RNA is filed under the name uncultured bacterium. RNAcentral's name for it is "partial 16S ribosomal RNA". It matches the Rfam family "Bacterial small subunit ribosomal RNA", at positions 99 to 334 of the family's 1533-position model. The record is from RNAcentral.